Molecule: non-coding RNA, 209 nt
Organism: Camellia sinensis
Lineage: Eukaryota; Viridiplantae; Streptophyta; Magnoliopsida; Ericales; Theaceae
Source: RefSeq, a predicted model, not a curated record
CAAUUCAACUUGCCACAAAUAAGUUCAGUGGGUGCUUCGCCCAAAUCCAAAGGUUGAAUCAAAGUGGAAAGACUGAAAAAGAUAAGAUUCUUGAUGCGAAGAAAUUAUACAAAGAGUUGUACAAAUCGUCAUUUCCAUUUGAACAUUGUUGGCAUGAGUUAAGAGAUCAACCAAAAUGGCGAGAGGAAUAUAGCAUGAAGAAACAAAAA